GACGAACGCUGGCGGCGUGCCUAAUACAUGCAAGUAGAACGCUGAAGGAGGAGCUUGCUUCUCUGGAUGAGUUGCGAACGGGUGAGUAACGCGUAGGUAACCUGCCUGGUAGCGGGGGAUAACUAUUGGAAACGAUAGCUAAUACCGCAUAAGAGUAGAUGUUGCAUGACAUUUGCUUAAAAGGUGCAAUUGCAUCACUACCAGAUGGACCUGCGUUGUAUUAGCUAGUUGGUGGGGUAACGGCUCACCAAGGCGACGAUACAUAGCCGACCUGAGAGGGGGAUCGGCCACACUGGGACUGAGACACGGCCCAGACUCCUACGGGAGGCAGCAGUAGGGAAUCUUCGGCAAUGGACGGAAGUCUGACCGAGCAACGCCGCGUGAGUGAAGAAGGGUUUCGGAUCGUAAAGCUCUGUUGUAAGAGAAGAACGAGUGUGAGAGUGGAAAGUUCACACUGUGACGGUAUCUUACCAGAAAGGGACGGCUAACUACGUG
RNAcentral lists this ribosomal RNA (495 nucleotides) under uncultured bacterium. RNAcentral describes it as "partial 16S ribosomal RNA". It matches the Rfam family "Bacterial small subunit ribosomal RNA", at positions 28 to 507 of the family's 1533-position model. The record is from RNAcentral.